Molecule: long non-coding RNA, 3066 nt
Organism: Gasterosteus aculeatus aculeatus (three-spined stickleback)
Lineage: Eukaryota; Metazoa; Chordata; Actinopteri; Perciformes; Gasterosteidae
Source: Ensembl
AUGAACGUCUGAUAUAAAAUAGGGUUUUAAGGAAUAUAAUGCAACGUUAUAUAUACAUUAUUUGAUCUAAUCCAAGGUCAAACCUUUCACACACCUUGAAGAACUAGACACCUGCUUUACAGAGCCCAGUAUACGUGUCUUUUGUCAGCAAGGCCACCUUGUGGGAACGAGGACUCUGCCGCCAAACCGCCCACAAACGUCCAAACCACGGUCCCUUAUUGUGUCCACGGUUCUUGUCUCACAUGACCGCCCGCCCCGAGGACCUCAGGCCUCCUUGUGUCCCGAGCUCCGGGUCCAGACCGCUGCCCCCCCCUCGGGAGAAGACGGCGGUAACGCACGCCCUCGCUGCACCGAAGACACAAACGCUGGACGGUUUCUUCCGUCUCCAUCCAGACGGGAGAAGGAAAAGUGCGCCGAUGGCGGGAAGGCGCUCUGCUGCUGUUGUUGUUCCCUGUCCUCCACCCUCCGCUGCCCCACCGCCACGCACCGCCAACCCAACACCGCCCCGCCAAAACUCCCCGCACGGCGACUUCGAGAGGCGGCGAAGAAGCCGGUCGGCAUCUCCCUGCGACGAGCCACCUGCCCCGGGGGGGGGCGUUGAAGUCCGUGAGACGGCUCCGCGACCCGCCGCCGCGUCCCCCCACCCGGGCUGCCGGCUGCCUGCGGAGCCGAAUGGAUCGGAAGCGCCACCGCCGCCGGCGGCCUCCUCCUCCUCCUCCAUCUCACACGGGUCGCUCUCAGAUUUCAGCCGCCCACCGUCCAGCCGGUUCAGCCGCAGCACCGACCUCGCCAGCGGCCGGAGCAGCGUCCUGUCCGGCGAUCUCGGAGACUCGGAGCCAGGAGGCGGCGUUUGCUCCUCACCGCUCCAGCCUCGCCCGGUGACGGGGUCACCCUCGGCUCCUCGCCCUCCGCCGGCAUCCCACCCUCGCCAACCAUCCGCCGAUGCUUCGGCCACCCCUCUCCUCUACGAACCGCUAUUUGGGCAAACCCGACCCCUCUCGCCGCCGUCGACGUCAGGUGGGCUUCGUCAAUCAGAUAACCCUCCGAGCAGGAGCGAAAGCCCCGAUGCGACAAAGUAUCUCCAACCAGUUCCAUCAGAAGCUCCUGGUCCCCACCCAUCCAUGGCCUCCGACCGCGGCCUCGUCGGCCUGGCUUUCCCCUCCGCCACCUGGUCCUCCUGCCCGAGUCCGCAGAGGACCACUCCCCGCUCCUCGGGGUCAGGACCGGCUCCGACCCCUCCUGCGUCGGCGCCCCGUCUGGAGUCUCGUCGCUGGUCCCCGCUGCCUCCCAUCUCCCCUGUCGGAGGACGCUGUGGCACCGCAGCAUCCCGCUACUCCGAGCUCAGCUGCACUCAGUCCCGCGCGUUCGAUGAGCUGGAGGCCAUCGCCCCUCGCUCGCUGUCCUCCCCGUCUCUGGACCGGCUGUCGGACUCCUCCGGGUGCCCUUCACCUGACACAGAGCUGUCUCCGGGCCUGGCGGCGCUGACGGUGGGCUGUGACUCCGGGACCCUGGGCUCUCUGUCCCGGGUGCAGCUGCUCCUCCUGGACCGGCCGCAGCCCGACACCCGGCCGGGUCUGUUCGGCCCGGAAGAGGAGCUCUCGCCGGUGCAAGACUGGCCUCGUCUCGCGAUGCAACAUGAAGGUGGCGUGAGGCCCCGCACAGCUGGCGGCGUCUCUGAAAGGUGUGACUCCGCAGGGAAAGUCCACGAAAACAAAUCGGAGGGGUCCGAAGACGGUUUCUGGCUCUCCGUCUUCGUGGAUCAUCGACCCGGAGUCCAUCGCUCGCCAUGUUCAGAUCCGCCCUCUCCCCUUGCGUGUCCGAUCUCGGUUCCAGCGGAGGGGAAGGGGGCCCCGCCGAGGAGGAGGAGGAGGCCAAUUAUCCGGGAUGGGGGCAACAAGUCGAAUCCUCAGCCGCAGGACGGAGGCCCGCGAGCCUUGAUGGCAGAAGUGAGGAGAGGAAGCGGAGGAUGGAGGAGAGGAAAACAAAGGUGCUGAGCUUGCUCUCCAAGCUGCAGGACGACGGGCCGCGGCAGCCAAAGGGCCACCGGAGCUGCUCCAACUUCCAGGACUUUGACUUUUUGGCAAAGUAUUGCAUUUUCAGUCAGGAGAAGCUGGCCGAGUACAAAAGGGCUUUUGAAGCAGAGGACGCUGAUGAUGACGGCUACAUAUCCUGCCUUCAGGCUCUGCUCGCGCUCAAGAGCGUCAUCCCCGCGGAGCGGCUGUCCGACGAAGAAGAAAUCUACGUCUACAGGAUCUUAGAGAUGGUGGACUUCAGCGUGACAGAUGGGCUGGUGGACCUCCGGCUCUUUGCUGUGAUUGCGAGCCUGGCGCAGAAAGUGGCGGCCAUGGAUGAGUUCAUGCGAUCGCUAAUCACCGACAUGGACUUCCGCUCGUUAGAAGUGAGGCUCUUCAAAGCGAAGCAACUGUUCCUGUUCCUCAUGGAGGAGCAGCAAGGAGACGCCGGAGCCCAGCGGGGCUCCAUCAGCGCGGAGCAGCUCCUUCUGGAGCUGAAGGCCGGGGGCAUCCACCUGGAGCAGGAGGCGGCCGUGCGGCUGGAGCUGCAGCGCAUCCCCCCCCUGGACCUGCUGGACUUCCUGGCCUACCUGCCGCUCUUCAUGCUCAUUCACAAGUCGGUCAUCGCCAACCCUCUCAAUGACUCCGGCGACCUCUGACCUCGGCCCUUGGCACCUGGCGAAGCAGCGUCACUGCCGUUAAAUCCACCAACACGCAGGAACCCUUCAUUUAAUUUGUUUUGUUUUUACAUUACUAGUAAAGAUAAGUCUGGUUAUUAGCUAUUUAGUUAGCCUGGAAUGCUAACGUGCAGUUAGCUGCUAACUGCCAGCUCAGCACGUUGAGCGUUAUGAAACUUUUGCAACUUCUUUUCACAACCACUUGAUGUUUGUCUCAUUGAUUAAUAUAUUGUUCUGUGGUUCCUGUUAACGUUUCAUGGAGCUGUGAAGUGCUGUCUAUGGUCCUGAAAUGUUUCCGUAGAUGUUGCAGCCGUUUGAAAAAGCUUUAAACGCAUCAAAAAGUUGCAUUAAAUAAAAGCACCUCCAAACGGGGCGGG